AAUUUUUAGAUAGAAGAGGAAGAAGGCAAUUAAAGAGGAGAAUCACUGGUUUAACUUACCCAUCUGUGGCUAAGGUUGAACUGACUGUAAGCUUUGUAAGUGAUGCUUAUAAUGGUCUUGAUGAAUGAAGCUUCUUCUAUAUUAUGUGCUAUACAACACAAAGGGCCUCUGUUAAGAGACAAAAGGAUCCAGCAUAUCGCAGAACACCUACUUCUGAUAUUAGUAUGACUAUUAAAAAGUAGACUACUCUGAUUUUUCAGCAUUUACACUCAUCUUGGAAGUGAGAUUUAUAAAAAAUGACUAAUACUUAUAUAGUGUCAGGUGCCAUUUUAAAUUAUAACUCAUUUUAACAUAUUUGACCCUCACUAAAACCAUAGAGACAGGCCCACGUAGCAUCCAUGUUUUCCAGGAAACUUGCACAGUAGAUGUUUUGUCCAGAGUCACGGAUAGUGAUGGUCAGGGAUUCUGGCUUCAAAGUCUGCCCCUCGAACACUGUAUUUGUAAUGACGUCAUUACGCUCCACACAAUGCCGGAAUGAUGUGAGGUGAGCGCUCACCACGGAGAAAAGCUAUUUUCUAUAGAGUUUGAUAUUCCUGGAUUGAUUUUUGCCUUCAUCACUUUCAAGAUAUUUAUCCAACAAGGAUGUGAUAUGUUGGAAGCCAUGCACAGCUGCUCACACAUAGUAGGUGUUCAUAUAUUUAUUUUCCAAGAUUUUUUUCAGUAAACAGUUCCUCUUCUCUUUCCUCUUGAAUAAAAUUCUAGUCAAAGUUAAAUAUGUGCACUAUAAAAACAAAUGGCCGGUUCGGUGGCCUGCUUCGCAAGUGCAAAGACCCAAGUUCGAUCCCCGGUAUCAAAAAAAAAAAAAAAAAAUGGCAAUGCAUCACCAUGCAGUAGAAAUUGAGAGAGGCCAGUUUACGAUUAGCGCAGGACACAUAGGUAGAAUGGUGACGACAAGGUAGAAUAAUGAUGUCUGGGUUUAUUCGCCACAGGGUCCAUAUUGAUGGCAUCACCAGGGCUCUGUAUUUCAUGAAGAGUGAGGAAGAAGUCAAGGAAGAACAGGCACUCUCUGAUCUGCAGUUGGACUUCCCAUUAGCUACAUUGCUAUUUGACAACAUGCAUUUCUUCCUAACCCAACUUCUUUCUGCAACAUGAACAGUUCUUUUGGGAGUUACCAGUAUACAUUAUUAACCUAAACAAAAUAAAUACUCCAUGUAAAAAUCAGAGUUGCUGAGUGAGUGUUUCAAAUGGCUCACUGUUCUGAUGGUCUUAUCACUGUUUGCCUCCAUUUACUAAGGGGUACCAAAGUUGGUGGCAUCUGGAUUAGUGGAGGGCUCAUAAUUGGAGAGGUUGAGGCACUUUGAUGAGAGGAAUAAGAGGUAUAAGCUUAAGGAAAGCAAUGAGGGUCAAUAAAACAGUUAAUUCUUCAAGUAUGUGAGCAUAUCUAAAAGGGGCCACAUGGCUCUGCUCUGCCGCCAGUAUGUGCCAUGUGCUCAGGGAGUACUUGAAGGGAAUUUAAGUUGGGUGUUUAUGGACUUCUGAAAAUUGAAUAACCAUAUCUGCAGAAGGACAGACCAUAUUCAACAGAGAACACACAAUCCACAAUCCUCUGUUGGGUUGUUUAUUUUUGUGACAGUUUUGAAAGGCUGACAUAUCUCAGUGGGAAGCAGUAGUCUUGUCAUUUUGUGAUCUGGAAUGAGCUUUCAUGCAUGCAGUGAGCUGUUAUACAGGAUUGCUGUGAACCGGUCAGAGUUGCCUUGAGAGGCAGGAGGAGCACCUAAAAAGUUCUCCACAUGUGUGCACGAGAGGGCAUGCACUCACACAAUGAAGAAGAAGAAAAGGAGGGGGUUCUAAAAAGUCACAUGUAUUUGUUAGUACAGUCUCAGAAUGACACAAAGAGAAAUAGAGUAAAGGUUGAUGCAUAAAAGACUAUUUUCACAACAACCAAGAAUUAAGAAAAAUGUUUCUAAUAUAUU
Fukomys damarensis (Damara mole-rat) is the source of this 1973-nucleotide long non-coding RNA. The record is from Ensembl. NCBI's taxonomy places the organism in Eukaryota, Metazoa, Chordata, Mammalia, Rodentia, Bathyergidae.